RNAcentral lists this long non-coding RNA (1969 nucleotides) under Citrus x clementina. Its description in RNAcentral is "Citrus clementina (C. clementina) long non-coding RNA (CCLE_LNC002526)". The record is from RNAcentral. Lineage: Eukaryota; Viridiplantae; Streptophyta; Magnoliopsida; Sapindales; Rutaceae.
UAAACAAAUUAAAUAUUUUCUCUGAGGAUCGACCUCGGACUCAUCGAGUUAUAAUAUAACAAGACACUCUUAUACUUGGGAGUUAAAAAUUACUUUUAAGUUGUGUCAUUUAGAUAACUUGUAUGCAUUUCUCUCUUGUGACUAUUUAGUACUUCUUUUCCUUACUUGAAAUAUUUAACUGUUACACAGGCAAUGUCUUCGGACUCUAACAACUACUAUGAGCUAACCAUUUGUGAAUAACUUGUUGAAGACGACGAUUACUAGACUAUCAUAAAUAAUCAGACACCUUUUGUUGCAAAUUUUACUUAUACUAUAUUUCAUCCCAUAUAUUUUUCUUCCAUCUCUGGUUGAAGCAUUGAUGAAAUCGAUAAUCACAUGGGUGAAAUGUCACUUGAUCUCUCCAUGUCUUUUAUGGGGUAGGCAACUCAAUUUCUCUUGAAAAAAAGCUAAAGAUAACAACGACCUAGCCAUCCUCCUUCAAGAACUAUCACUAUGCAUCUAGAUUUCUUUAUGCAUGGUGUUAUACUUCUUUUGCAUUCUUUUUCUUAGGUACAUAAUUAGUCAUUUUCAACCUGCUCUCACCUAACUUAGCCAUUAUGAUAAGUAUGCACGUUCUUUGGAAACAAAGAAACUUUCCUAAUCCCACAGUCUAACAAUUCUCAUGGUUUUAUCAACUUAUAAACAUUCUUAACCACAAAAAGUGCCCUCUUAUUGAGAGUUGGUACUAUGUAUGCUCUUAGCCUAAACUUCCUUAUUUAAUUAUUUGAAAGAGAUCACUUAGUAGGUCAUAGAAAGAUUCAUGGUUUUUUGUUACUGAGAAUUGGGAAUUUGGGGGUUGUCAUGACAUAUAUCCUGAAUGUAGAGUCCAAACUCAUUUUGCACCCCAGGUUGUUUUUUGAGGUGAUUGUACAAUAUACCAUUUUGUGACUUUCACUUACUUUACUUUCUUCUUUUUUUUUUUCUUUUUCAAUGACAUGGGGCGGCCAACCUGAAACAUUAAGUAGGCAAUGAAAGGGAUCUAUUAUUAGGCAUCCUUUAUAACCUAAAAAUUCAAAACCUAGGAUUAUCUCUUGCAAUCGGGCUUCUUAUCAAUAUUUGGUUUUACUUCUCCUACAAGUAAAGUUCAUGAAAGCCACAAAAUGGAAUAUUGUAUAAUCAUCCCAAAAAGCUACUUGGGUUUCUGAAAUAAGUUUGACUCGACAUUCAUAAUAUAUGUUAUGACAACACCCAAGUUCCCAAUCCUCAGUAGCAAACAACCAUGAUUAUUUCCAUGACCCUCCAAGUGAUCUCUUUUGGAUGAUUAAAAGAGAAAGUUUACACCAAGAACAUACAUAAUACCAGCUCUUAACGGGAUAUCCCUUGUUGAGGUUAGAAAUGCUCAUAAGUUGAUAAAACCACUGGAAUUGUUGGAAUAUGUAACCAAAAUAUUUUUUUCUUGUUUUCAAAGAAUCGUACGUGCCUAUCAUAAUGGACUGAGUUAGCGAGGCGGGAGCACAUCCAAGUUCUUCUACACCAAACGACUUCUAGAGUAUUUUUGUCAUUCUACAUAAGAAACAAGGGUAGUUUAAGGGACGUGAGAAAGGGUAUUUUGGGAAAUGAAUUGUGAUGACGCGUUAGUUACUCAUAUAAAAUAAAUAAAAGGCGACAAAAGUAGUAACGAUGUCAUCUGGGGGCGUGAUAACCUGAGGAAGGACAGAUUCCAGUGCACAUGCUGGUACGGCUAAUUUAAUUAUAAUAAAUAAUUAAUUAAUGCAUUUGGAUUAGACUAAUGUCACACUUAAUUAAGUACCUACGUUUUUCUCUCUUACGCUCUUCUACGGCAUGAGAAACUAACGCAACAAUUACAGUUUCACAGCUGCUACUGGUGUUGGCGCGUGAUCACACUCGCUCAGCUUAAGUAUGUUUUGUGUUUUCUGCUUCUGCAAUUGUUACAGGGCACCUUCUUUGAAGACGCAACAUAUAUAUAUAU